AUACGUAGGGGGCGAGCGUUGUCCGGAAUGACUGGGCGUAAAGGGCGUGUAGGCGGCGGUGUAAGUCUGGAGUGAAAGUCCCGCAUUCAAUGUGGGAAUUGCUUUGGAUACUGCAGUGCUAGAGUGCGGAAGAGGUAAGUGGAAUUCCCAGUGUAGCGGUGAAAUGCGUAGAGAUUGGGAGGAACACCAGUGGCGAAGGCGGGUAACUGGACUGCAACUGACGCUGAGGCGCGAAAGUGUGGGGAGCAAACAGGAUUAGAUACCCUGGUAGUCCACACUGUAAACGAUGAAUGCUAGGUGUAAGAGGUAUCGACCCCUUUUGUGCCGGAGUCAACACAAUAAGCAUUCCGCCUGGGGAGUACGGCCGCAAGGUUGAAACUCAAAGGAAUUGACGGGG
This 397-nucleotide ribosomal RNA is filed under the name uncultured bacterium. Its description in RNAcentral is "partial 16S ribosomal RNA". It matches the Rfam family "Bacterial small subunit ribosomal RNA", at positions 523 to 918 of the family's 1533-position model. The record is from RNAcentral.